UCGAUUUUGUUGAUUACUAAUGUUUACUUAUUUUUGGGGUAAAUUUCCUCUAACGGCUAGCGAAAUCAGCUUUAACCGACUCCACAUACACGUAAUUAAUGUAAGAAUUGCUUCAAAUAACUUAAACCACUUAUUUACGUCGAAUGGAUAACAAUUCCACUCAUCCUAAAGGAACGGGCACUUGAAGGUAGAUAAUAAAUUGAAAAUUUCGUCGUAGAGUGACCUAGCUGCAAACAAAAUGUCGUAACAGAUACUUGUUUUGAGGCUGGUAUGAC
Long non-coding RNA from Bradysia coprophila, 275 nucleotides. Lineage: Eukaryota; Metazoa; Arthropoda; Insecta; Diptera; Sciaridae. The record is from RefSeq and is a predicted model, not a curated record.